Molecule: long non-coding RNA, 726 nt
Filed under: Callithrix jacchus (white-tufted-ear marmoset)
Lineage: Eukaryota; Metazoa; Chordata; Mammalia; Primates; Cebidae
Description: lncRNA (ENSCJAG00000084393.1)
Source: RNAcentral
CGAAAGUGGAAAGUGGGGCUAGAAGCGGCUCCCCGGUCUCCCAGGCCUGUGGCUGGGACCUGCAGCCUCACCCAGAAACACACACAGAUUUCCCCCCCGGGACUGACUCGCUGAGCACCACAGCGAGCUUGGAAACCCACCCAGCCUAUCCUUUUGCAGCCUGCGUAAUUGGGCACCAGAAGCACAAAUACUUUGUUCAGACGCUGGGAAGUGGAAAUUUUCUAGUCUGUUAGGCAAAUUCUCCUUUUCUCCUUUUGCAUUUUUUUUACCCCAACAGGAAAAGACUUUUCACUUGGAAUCCUUCCGAUGCAGAUGUGUGAAGACUCUGGUAGCGACAUCUCGGGGACUGAGCAUCUUCUAUUGAUUGGAAAAACACACACAGCACCAGGACCGUUGCCCACCCGCGGAGCUGCUCACAGAGCCACAGCGAAUAAUGAGCAGCCAACUGCCAAGCACAGGCCUCUGAAUUUGAUCAAUAGACGCAGCCCAGCCUUGGGGACCCCUCUGGGUUCCACCAGCAGGCAGAAAAGACACAGGAACAAAGACCAAGCAUGACUUGGAGUCUAACCAUAGAGGACAGAUGGGGGUCCCUGGCAGGAGCCUGAGCUGCAGGAACCGUGGUCCUCAGCUGUGAGUCCCUGCCCUCCUUCCCCUGGAUGGGCCUCUCUGCUGCCCAGGACAGCUUGCCAGCUGCCUGCUCCAGAAGCCUCCUCACCCCAUUGUGAG